AAAACUUUCAACAACGGAUCUCUUGGUUCUGGCAUCGAUGAAGAACGCAGCGAAAUGCGAUAAGUAAUGUGAAUUGCAGAAUUCCGUGAAUCAUGGAAUCUUUGAACGCACAUUGCGCCCUUUGGUAUUCCAAAGGGCAUGCCUGUUCGAGCGUCAUU
RNAcentral lists this ribosomal RNA (158 nucleotides) under Physcia alnophila. RNAcentral describes it as "5.8S ribosomal RNA". It matches the Rfam family "5.8S ribosomal RNA". From Rfam's summary of the family: 5.8S ribosomal RNA (5.8S rRNA) is a component of the large subunit of the eukaryotic ribosome. It is transcribed by RNA polymerase I as part of the 45S precursor that also contains 18S and 28S rRNA. Functionally, it is thought that 5.8S rRNA may be involved in ribosome translocation. The record is from RNAcentral. Lineage: Eukaryota; Fungi; Ascomycota; Lecanoromycetes; Caliciales; Physciaceae.